AGUGAACGCUGGCGGUAGGCCUAACACAUGCAAGUCGAACGGCAGCACAGUAAGAGCUUGCUCUUACGGGUGGCGAGUGGCGGACGGGUGAGGAAUACAUCGGAAUCUACUUUUUCGUGGGGGAUAACGUAGGGAAACUUACGCUAAUACCGCAUACGACCUACGGGUGAAAGCAGGGGAUCUUCGGACCUUGCGCGAUUGAAUGAGCCGAUGUCGGAUUAGCUAGUUGGCGGGGUAAAGGCCCACCAUGGCGACGAUCCGUAGCUGGUCUGAGAGGAUGAUCGGCCACACUGGAACUGAGACACGGUCCAGACUCCUACGGGAGGCAGCAGUGGGGAAUAUUGGACAAUGGGCGCAAGCCUGAUCCAGCCAUACCGCGUGGGUGAAGAAGGCCUUCGGGUUGUAAAGCCCUUUUGUUGGGAAAGAAAAGCAGCAGGUUAAUACCCCGCUGUUCUGACGGUACCCAAAGAAUAAGCACCGGCUAACUUCGUG
RNAcentral lists this ribosomal RNA (492 nucleotides) under uncultured bacterium. RNAcentral describes it as "partial 16S ribosomal RNA". It matches the Rfam family "Bacterial small subunit ribosomal RNA", at positions 29 to 507 of the family's 1533-position model. The record is from RNAcentral.